AUUGAACGCUGGCGGCAUGCCUUACACAUGCAAGUCGAACGGUAACAGGUCUUCGGAUGCUGACGAGUGGCGAACGGGUGAGUAAUACAUCGGAACGUGCCUAGUAGUGGGGGAUAACUACUCGAAAGAGUGGCUAAUACCGCAUGAGAUCUACGGAUGAAAGCAGGGGAUCGCAAGACCUUGUGCUACUAGAGCGGCCGAUGGCAGAUUAGGUAGUUGGUGGGAUAAAAGCUUACCAAGCCGACGAUCUGUAGCUGGUCUGAGAGGACGAUCAGCCGCACUGGGGCCGAGACACGGCCCAGACUCCUACGGGAGGCAGCAGUGGGGAAUUUUGGACAAUGGGCGCAAGCCUGAUCCAGCAAUGCCGCGUGCAGGAUGAAGGCCUUCGGGUUGUAAACUGCUUUUGUACGGAACGAAAAGCCCCGGGUUAAUACCCUGGGGUCAUGACGGUACCGUAAGAAUAAGCACCGGCUAACUACGUGCCAGCCGCCGCAGUAA
Molecule: ribosomal RNA, 498 nt
Filed under: uncultured bacterium
Lineage: Bacteria
Description: partial 16S ribosomal RNA
Rfam family: Bacterial small subunit ribosomal RNA
Source: RNAcentral